RNAcentral lists this ribosomal RNA (280 nucleotides) under uncultured bacterium. RNAcentral's name for it is "partial 16S ribosomal RNA". It matches the Rfam family "Bacterial small subunit ribosomal RNA", at positions 506 to 784 of the family's 1533-position model. The record is from RNAcentral.
UGCCAGUAGCCGCGGUAAUACGGAGGGGGCUAGCGUUGUCCGGAUUUAUUGGGCGUAAAGGGCUCGUAGGCGGCUUGGAAAGUCAAUCGUGAAAACCCGGGGCUCAACCCCGGGACGCCGGUCGAAACUUCCAUAGCUAGGGUCCGGUAGAGGUGAGUGGAAUUCUCGGUGUAGCGGUGAAAUGCGCAGAUAUCGAGAGGAACACCAGUAGCGAAGGCGGCUCACUGGGCCGGUACCGACGCUGAGGCGCGAAGGCGUGGGGAGCGAACGGGAUUAGAUA